GUCCCUCUGUGAGCAAGUCCCGUGGCGAGGCGGCCAGUCCAGCCUGAGCGGUCUGACCCUGGAGCCCUGCUGUCCUCUCCUGCCUUCUUUAGGAGGAAGCAAGUCAGUGUCACUGAACUGCGUUCUGUCGCCCUUCACCCCACAGGACUCGGUUCGAGGUGGAUUCUUUACCAGCUGGGCCACAAGGGAUGCCCUGUUCAAGGCUGCUGUCCUCUAAAAGGUAAGC
Bos indicus x Bos taurus (hybrid cattle) is the source of this 226-nucleotide long non-coding RNA. Lineage: Eukaryota; Metazoa; Chordata; Mammalia; Artiodactyla; Bovidae. The record is from Ensembl.